This 301-nucleotide ribosomal RNA is filed under the name uncultured bacterium. Its description in RNAcentral is "partial 16S ribosomal RNA". It matches the Rfam family "Bacterial small subunit ribosomal RNA", at positions 509 to 807 of the family's 1533-position model. The record is from RNAcentral.
CAGUAGCCACGGUAAUACAGAGGAUGCAAGCGUUAUCCGGAAUGAUUGGGCGUAAAGCGUCUGUAGGUGGCUUUUCAAGUCCGCCGUCAAAUCCCAGGGCUCAACCCUGGACAGGCGGUGGAAACUACCAUGCUAGAGGAUUGGAGAGGUAGCUGGAAUUCUUGGUGUAGCAGUGAAAUGCGUGGAGAUCAAGAGGAACACUCGUGGCGAAAGCGAGCUACUGGACAAUAACUGACGCUGAGGCUCGAAGGCCAGGGUAGCGAAAGGGAUUAGAUACCCCUGUAGUCCCUGUCUCUUAUAC